GCCGGCGUAGCCCAAUGGUAGGGCGUUGCUUUCCUAAGUUUGUCAUAAUCGCAAAUCAAGCAGAGGUUGCGGGUUCGAGUCCCGCCGUUGGUU
Non-coding RNA from Jaminaea rosea, 93 nucleotides. NCBI's taxonomy places the organism in Eukaryota, Fungi, Basidiomycota, Exobasidiomycetes, Microstromatales. The record is from the annotation of a RefSeq genome assembly.